This 499-nucleotide ribosomal RNA is filed under the name uncultured bacterium. RNAcentral describes it as "partial 16S ribosomal RNA". It matches the Rfam family "Bacterial small subunit ribosomal RNA", at positions 899 to 1397 of the family's 1533-position model. The record is from RNAcentral.
ACUCAAAUGAAUUGACGGGGACCCGCACAAGCGGUGGAUUAUGUGGAUUAAUUCGAUGCAACGCGAAAAACCUUACCUACCCUUGACAUGCCGAGAAUCCCGAAGAGAUUUGGGAGUGCCCGAAAGGGAACUUGGACACAGGUGCUGCAUGGCUGUCGUCAGCUCGUGUCGUGAGAUGUUGGGUUAAGUCCCGCAACGAGCGCAACCCUUGUCAUUAAUUGCCAUCAUUUAGUUGGGCACUUUAAUGAGACUGCCGGUGAUAAACCGGAGGAAGGUGGGGAUGACGUCAAGUCCUCAUGGCCCUUAUGGGUAGGGCUUCACACGUAAUACAAUGGUCGGUACAGAGGGUUGCCAACCCGCGAGGGGGAGCCAAUCUCAGAAAGCCGAUCGUAGUCCGGAUUGUUCUCUGCAACUCGAGAGCAUGAAGUCGGAAUCGCUAGUAAUCGCGGAUCAGCAUGUCGCGGUGAAUACGUUCCCGGGUCUUGUACACACCGCCCGU